GACGAACGCUGGCGGCGUGCUUAACACAUGCAAGUCGAACGGUGAAGCGCCUUCCUUUUUGGUGGGUGGGGAGGAGAGGCGGACGGGUGAGUAACACGUGAGUAACCUGCACCCUGCUUCAGGAUAACCGCAUUAAAGCGUGGCUAGUACGGGAUAUUCUGGUUCAGUCGCAUGAUGGGUCAGGGAAAGCUGUUGUGUCGGGGGGGGAUGGGCUCGGGGCCGAUCAGCUUGUUGGUGGUGUGAUGGCCUAUCAGGGCGGUGACGGGUAGCCGGCCUGGGAGGGUGGACGGCCACACUGGGAGUGAGACACGGCUGGGACUGCGACAGGAGGCAGCAGCGGGCAAGAGUGCACAGUGGGCGCAAGCGUGAUGCAGCGGCGCCGCGGGAGCGAUGGCGGCCUGCGGGUUGUGAACCUCUUUCGCCAGUGAAGCAGGUCUGCCUGGUGUGUGGGGGGGUUGACGGUAGCUGGAUAAGAAGCGCCGGCUAACUACGUG
This 494-nucleotide ribosomal RNA is filed under the name uncultured bacterium. Its description in RNAcentral is "partial 16S ribosomal RNA". It matches the Rfam family "Bacterial small subunit ribosomal RNA", at positions 28 to 507 of the family's 1533-position model. The record is from RNAcentral.